This is a non-coding RNA of Sturnus vulgaris (Common starling), 422 nucleotides long. Lineage: Eukaryota; Metazoa; Chordata; Aves; Passeriformes; Sturnidae. The record is from RefSeq and is a predicted model, not a curated record.
AGGGGACCCCAAAAUCUGGAAUUUCGGAUUUGGGGAAACCCCAAAAUUUGGAGUUUGAGGAGCCCCAAAAAUGUGGAUUUUCGGAGGGGAAACCCCAAAAUUUGAAGAGAGGGAGGAACAAAAAAACGGGGAUUUUGGGGAAGGGACCCCAAAAUUUGGAUUUUGGGAGAAGAGACCCCAAACCGUGCGUGUGGGAACCCCAAAAUGUGGAUUUGGGGAUGGGAUUUUUGAGGAAAAUCUCGGAUUUUUCCGCAGGCUCCGGAGCGAUGCCGCCCCUCCAGUUCUUGGCCCUCCUGGUGCUCGGCGCGGGAAUUUUGGGAAUUUCGGGAAUUUCGGGAAUUCCGGCGGUGCCAGCCCCGGGAAGGGGCCCCGAGGAGCUCCCCGCUCCCGCCGUGCUCCCAGCCCGCCGCUCCCGCUCGGUG